This 253-nucleotide ribosomal RNA is filed under the name uncultured bacterium. RNAcentral describes it as "partial 16S ribosomal RNA". It matches the Rfam family "Bacterial small subunit ribosomal RNA", at positions 524 to 776 of the family's 1533-position model. The record is from RNAcentral.
UACGUAGGGUGCUAGCGUUGUUCGGAAUCAUUGGGCGUAAAGCGCGUGUAGGUGGCUUGUUAAGUUGGGUGUGAAAUCCCUGGGCUCAACCCAGGAAGUGCAUUCGAAACUAGCUCGCUAGAAGAUGGUAGAGGAAGGUGGAAUUCCAAGUGUAGAGGUGAAAUUCGUAGAUAUUUGGAGGAAUACCGGUGGCGAAGGCGGCCUUCUGGACCAUUCUUGACACUGAGACGCGAAAGCGUGGGUAGCAAACAGG